GCUAAGAAUAUUCCGCAAUGGACGAAAGUCUGACGGAGCGACGCCGCGUGGAUGAUGAAGGCCGAAAGGUUGUAAAGUCCUUUUGCUGGGGAAGAAUAAGCGUGGGAGGGAAUGCCCGCGUGAUGACAUGAACCGGCGAAUAAGCCCCGGCUAACUACGUGCCAGCAGCCGCGGUAACACGAAGGGGGCAAGCGUUGUUCGGAAUUACUGGGCGUAAAGGGCAUGUAGGCGGCCUUGUAAGCUUGGCGUGAAAGGCCACGGCUUAACCGUGGGAUUGCGUUGAGAACUGCGAGGCUUGAGUGACGGAGAGGGAGCUAGAAUUCCUGGUGUAGGGGUGGAAUCUGUAGAGAUCAGGAAGAAUACCAAUGGCGAAGGCAAGCUCCUGGCCGAUGACUGACGCUGAGGUGCGAAAGUGUGGGGAUCAAACAGGAUUAGAAACCCCAGUAGUCC
Molecule: ribosomal RNA, 450 nt
Filed under: uncultured bacterium
Lineage: Bacteria
Description: partial 16S ribosomal RNA
Rfam family: Bacterial small subunit ribosomal RNA
Source: RNAcentral